AGUGGAAGUGAAAUCCAUGGGCUCAACCCAUGAACUGCUUUCAAAACUGUUUUUCUGAAGUAGUGCAGAGGUAGGCGGAAUUCCCGGUGUAGCGGUGGAAUGCGUAGAUAUCGGGAGGAACACCAGUGGCGAAGGCGGCCUACUGGGCACCAACUGACGCUGAGGCUCGAAAGUGUGGGUAGCAAACAGGAUUAGAUACCCUGGUAGUCCACACCGUAAACGAUGAUUACUAGGUGUUGGAGGAUUGACCCCUUCAGUGCCGCAGUUAACACAAUAAGUAAUCCACCUGGGGAGUGCGACCGCAAGGUUGAAACUCAAAGGAAUUGACGGGGGCCCGCACAAGCAGUGGAGUAUGUGGUUUAAUUCGACGCAACGCGAAGAACCUUACCAAGUCUUGACAUCCUGCGACGCACAUAGAAAUAUGUGUUUCCUUCGGGACGCAGAGACAGGUGGUGCAUGGUUGUCGUCAGCUCGUGUCGUGAGAUGUUGGGUUAAGUCCCGCAACGAGCGCAACCCUUAUGGUCAGUUACUACGCAAGAGGACUCUGGCCAGACUGCCGUUGACAAAACGGAGGAAGGUGGGGAUGACGUCAAAUCAUCAUGCCCUUUAUGACUUGGGCUACACACGUACUACAAUGGCGUUAAACAAAGAGAAGCAAGACCGCGAGGUGGAGCAAAACUCAGAAACAACGUCCCAGUUCGGACUGCAGGCUGCAACUCGCCUGCACGAAGUCGGAAUUGCUAGUAAUCGUGGAUCAGCAUGCCACGGUGAAUACGUUCCCGGGCCUUGUACACACCGCCCGUCACACCAUGAGAGCCGGGGGGACCCGAAGUCGGUAGUCUAACCGCAAGGAGGACGCCGCCGAAGGUAAAACUGGUGAUUGGGGUGAAGUCAUAACA
RNAcentral lists this ribosomal RNA (899 nucleotides) under uncultured organism. RNAcentral's name for it is "SSU rRNA". It matches the Rfam family "Bacterial small subunit ribosomal RNA", at positions 586 to 1493 of the family's 1533-position model. The record is from RNAcentral.